RNAcentral lists this ribosomal RNA (1523 nucleotides) under uncultured prokaryote. RNAcentral's name for it is "partial 16S ribosomal RNA". It matches the Rfam family "Bacterial small subunit ribosomal RNA". The record is from RNAcentral.
AGAGUUUGAUCCUGGCUCAGAGCGAACGCUGGCGGCGUGCCUAACACAUGCAAGUCGCGCGAGAAAGGGAAGCUUGCUUCCUGAGUAAAGCGGCAGACGGGUGAGUAGUACGUGGGUAACCUGCCCUUGAGUGGGGAAUAACUUCGCGAAAGCGGGGCUAAUACCGCAUAACAUCUCCGGCCCUCCGGGAUCGGAGAUCAAAGCUUGCCUCUGCGUGCAAGCUGGCGCUUAAGGAGGGGCUCACGCCCGAUUAGCUUGUUGGUGGGGUAAUGGCCUACCAAGGCGACGAUCGGUAGCCGGCCUGAGAGGGUGACCGGCCACACUGGAACUGAGACACGGUCCAGACUCCUACGGGAGGCAGCAGUGAGGAAUUUUGGGCAAUGGGCGAAAGCCUGACCCAGCGACGCCGCGUGGACGAUGAAGGCCUUCGGGUCGUAAAGUCCUGUCGAGGGGGACGAAAUGGUGCUCCGUAAAUAGCGAAGUGCCUUGACGGUACCCCUGGAGGAAGCCCCGGCUAACUCCGUGCCAGCAGCCGCGGUAAUACGGAGGGGGCAAGCGUUGCUCGGAAUUACUGGGCGUAAAGGGCGCGUAGGCGGUUAGGAAAGUCCGGUGUGAAAUCCCUUGGCUCAACCAAGGAACUGCGCCGGGAUACUUCUUGACUCGAGGCCAGGAGAGGGAAGUGGAAUUUCCCGGUGUAGCGGUGAAAUGCCGUAGAUAUCGGGAGGAAACACCUGUGGCGAAGGCGGCUUUCCUGGACUGGUUCUGACGCUGAGGCGCGAAAGCUAGGGGAGCAACAGGAUUAGAUACCCUGGUAGUCCAAGCUGUAAACGAUGGGCACUUGGUGUUGCGGGUGUUGACCCCUGCAGUGCCGUAGCUAACGCGAUAAGUGCCCCGCCUGGGGAGUACGGUCGCAAGCCUGAAACUCAAAGGAAUUGACUGGGGCCCGCACAAGCGGUGGAGCAUGUGGUUUAAUUCGACGCAACGCGAAGAACCUUACCUGGGUUUGAACUGCAGGUGACCGCCCUAGAAACAGGGUUUUCCUUCGGGACACCUGUAGAGGUGCUGCAUGGCUGUCGUCAGCUCGUGUCGUGAGAUGUUGGGUUAAGUCCCGCAACGAGCGCAACCCUCGCCCUCUGUUGCCAUCGGGUAAUGCCGGGCACUCUGAGGGGACUGCCCCGGAAAACGGGGAGGAAGGCGGGGAUGACGUCAAGUCAUCAUGGCCUUUAUGCCCAGGGCUACACACGUGCUACAAUGGACGGUACAACGGGUUGCGAACCCGCGAGGGGGAGCUAAUCCCAAAAAACCGUUCUCAGUUCGGAUUGCAGUCUGCAACUCGACUGCAUGAAGGUGGAAUCGCUAGUAAUCGCGGAUCAGCACGCCGCGGUGAAUACGUUCCCGGGCCUUGUACACACCGCCCGUCACAUCACGAAAGUUGGCUGCACCUGAAAUUGCCGUGUUGACCCGCAAGGGAGGCAGGCACUUACGGUGUGGUUGAUGAUUGGGGUGAAGUCGUAACAAGGUAA